GUUCUCUGCAAUGUGGCAUCAAUAUCAGAGUGUAUAAAUAUCCAAAAUGACAACUACAGAACAAAUGGCACAGUGUAUUUGGGAAUGCGUUUUCUUCAGCAGGCCCCCCAUGAGCCGCCGAAACCAAGCAACGCAGACAACCAGAAGCCAACCAAAAAAAGAAAAGAAUGGUUCUUCAUCUGGCGGCAUUCUAGGGUACAUUUCGUUUAAGUAUUCAGGUAAGUAAUAUAAGCUUUGUGCUUCGGAUGAGCUUCAUCUAGUCGUCUCAGGUGUCUUCGGGUGUCUGGUGCUUGGGUUCGUCGGUGCGUCAAGGUCGCUGCGGAUCAGUUAAUCUGCAGCUCCUGGCUCUGCUCACCAGGCCCGACUGACCAGGUCCUGCGAGGUCAUGCUGAGGGUCAGUACCUGCUAGGGGACAGACUCCCAACACCCCCCACUAGGACAUGGCCAGGGACCCAGUGACCUGCCCUUGGGAGCAGGCUUUUCAUCUCCUUUCCUCCUCCUCCUCUCCUCCUCUUCACUUAAAUACACAGCAAGCAAACAGAGUGGGAACUCAAUAGUGACCGGACAGAGGGAAACUCACCCAAAUCCUUAAGCGGAGGGCUCCGCAGGAUAGAAAGGACAGAUCAAACAUUGUAACCUCCUUUUAUACCUUGAACCCCCCCCCGCUCUGUCAUUGCAAUUCUGACAGCCAAAGGAAAGCAGCUAACACCCUCAGCCUGCAUUGUGUGUGUGGGCGUGAUCGGGCUGAGCACAGUCGCUCUUUGCCACACGUUUCUUCUUAACCUUCAGUUUUGUUUCCAGCAAAGUCUGUCUAAGUUUCGUUUCUCUGCUGCCUCUCCACUUCCCAGAUAAUGUUUAUUUGCUUUCUAGGCUUCUACCCAGCUAGCACAUUUGGUUCGUUGGAAGUUGUGGGAAAGUUUUGGAUUUCCCAUUGGUUCUGGGAACGUAGCCAUAAAUUACGUUCUGAGAACGGAAGUGAAGAUUUUGCCUGUUCUGGGAACAUUUAUUUUUAGGUUGCAGGGAGUCUUGUGAGGCUUG
RNAcentral lists this long non-coding RNA (1038 nucleotides) under Salmo salar (Atlantic salmon). Its description in RNAcentral is "lncRNA (ENSSSAG00000078761.2)". Lineage: Eukaryota; Metazoa; Chordata; Actinopteri; Salmoniformes; Salmonidae. The record is from RNAcentral.